Long non-coding RNA from Cyprinus carpio (common carp), 611 nucleotides. NCBI's taxonomy places the organism in Eukaryota, Metazoa, Chordata, Actinopteri, Cypriniformes, Cyprinidae. The record is from Ensembl.
GUAAAAGUUUACAGUUAAUUAAGAGAGAAGUAUAGUGAGAAAUAGAGUAAUGCUUAUGGAUUACUUGUGGAUUAUUGUGACGCGUUUAUCAGCUGCCUGGACUCCCAUUCUGACAGCAUUUAUUAUUAUUAUUAUUAUUAUUAUUAUUAUUAUUAUUAUUAUUAUUAUUAUUAUUAUUAUUAUAUGAUGCAUUUAUUAUUAUUAUUAUUAUUUUUAUUAUUGUUAUUAUAUGAUGCCUUUGUGUUUGUGUGUUUUGUAACAGAUAUGGAGGUUAUGGGCCCUAUGGACAAUAUGGAGGUUAUGGGCCCUAUGAACACUUUGGAAGUUAUGGGCCCUUUCAAAAAUAUGGAGGUUAUGGGCCCUAUGGACAAUAUGGAGGUUAUGGGCCCUAUGGACAAGGUGAUGGAGGUCAUGGGCCCUCUGGACCAGCUGAAUAUUAUGGACAAGGUGACAGUUGGGAGGAUCUUUACGGCCACACCAAACAUGAUAACAUCAGAGGCAAUGAGCGAUAUGACACCACUGCUCAGCCCACUGCCGAUGACCAUGUGACUGACAACACUGAACCAGUAAAGUAAAAUAAAUGACCAGGCUAAACCCUGCUGAAUGAGCUG